RNAcentral lists this ribosomal RNA (537 nucleotides) under uncultured cyanobacterium. RNAcentral's name for it is "bacterial SSU rRNA". It matches the Rfam family "Bacterial small subunit ribosomal RNA", at positions 334 to 885 of the family's 1533-position model. Lineage: Bacteria; Bacillati; Cyanobacteriota. The record is from RNAcentral.
UACUCCUACGGGAGGCAGCAGUGGGGAAUUUUCCGCAAUGGGCGAAAGCCUGACGGAGCAACGCCGCGUGAGGGACGAAGGCCUCUGGGCUGUAAACCUCUUUUCUCAAGGAAGAAGAUAUGACGGUACUUGAGGAAUAAGCCACGGCUAAUUCCGUGCCAGCAGCCGCGGUAAUACGGGAGUGGCAAGCGUUAUCCGGAAUUAUUGGGCGUAAAGCGUCCGCAGGCGGCUUUUCAAGUCUGCUGUUAAAGCGUGGAGCUUAACUCCAUCAUGGCAGUGGAAACUGAAAGGCUUGAGUAUGGUAGGGGCAGAGGGAAUUCCCGGUGUAGCGGUGAAAUGCGUAGAUAUCGGGAAGAACACCAGUGGCGAAGGCGCUCUGCUGGGCCAUUACUGACGCUCAUGGACGAAAGCCAGGGGAGCGAAAGGGAUUAGAUACCCCUGUAGUCCUGGCCGUAAACGAUGAACACUAGGUGUCGGGGGAAUCGACCCCUUCGGUGUCGUAGCUAACGCGUUAAGUGUUCCAAUCACGAAUUCUGG